This 279-nucleotide small RNA is filed under the name Vigna angularis var. angularis. RNAcentral describes it as "Non-protein coding transcript". The record is from RNAcentral. Lineage: Eukaryota; Viridiplantae; Streptophyta; Magnoliopsida; Fabales; Fabaceae.
UGCGGGUUGAGCGAGGUCGAGGUGCUUUGGUGCGCUCCCGCACUGACCAAUCUUAGGUCGAGGUCGAGUGAUAAAUAUGGAGAGAUUUGAGAGGAUAAUGCGUGGGACGCAGGGCACACUUAUCGUUGCUUCGACCCUCCAAAUUUUUGUUGGAUUCAGUGGACUUUGGCGCAAUGUAGUGAGGUUCUUAAGCCCUCUCUCUCUGCAGUUCCCCUGGUUGCUUUGUCAGGCUUUGGACUUUAUGAGUUGGGCUUUAUAGUGCUUGCAAAAUGUGUGGAG